RNAcentral lists this long non-coding RNA (276 nucleotides) under Capsicum annuum. RNAcentral describes it as "long non-coding RNA (CANN_LNC000440)". The record is from RNAcentral. Lineage: Eukaryota; Viridiplantae; Streptophyta; Magnoliopsida; Solanales; Solanaceae.
UUCUUCACUGGCUGCUGAGGUGGAGGUGCUCGCUCUGAAAAUUCCAACCUCCUAUUUGGGUAAGUGGAGCCAAAAUUGUAAAGGUGAAUCAAAUUCAGUGAGUUCGAGUCUAAGCUGGGUGCCUCAACCUCCUCAAGAAUAGGAUGGUACCUAAGAGGGAGAAAGCUCCCAAAUGUUAGUGAAGACAAUGAACAACUAUUCUGUCUUUUGGGAUAACCAAUUUCAUCGACGACCCCAUGGUUUUUCUGGUGGAAUCCAUGGGAGUUACAAAAGGUG